GGGUGCGUAGCUCAGCCGGUUAGAGCGUUCGGUUCACAUCCGAAAGGUCACAGGUUCGAGUCCUGUCGCGCCCACCA
This 77-nucleotide transfer RNA is filed under the name Chloroflexota bacterium. RNAcentral's name for it is "tRNA-Val". It matches the Rfam family "tRNA". From Rfam's summary of the family: Transfer RNA (tRNA) molecules are approximately 80 nucleotides in length. Their secondary structure includes four short double-helical elements and three loops (D, anti-codon, and T loops). The record is from RNAcentral. RNAcentral also lists the same sequence under 2 other names. Lineage: Bacteria; Bacillati; Chloroflexota.